RNAcentral lists this ribosomal RNA (675 nucleotides) under Polyporus melanopus. RNAcentral describes it as "eukaryotic LSU rRNA". It matches the Rfam family "Eukaryotic large subunit ribosomal RNA", at positions 72 to 731 of the family's 3401-position model. The record is from RNAcentral. Lineage: Eukaryota; Fungi; Basidiomycota; Agaricomycetes; Polyporales; Polyporaceae.
GGAUUCCCCUAGUAACUGCGAGUGAAGCGGGAAAAGCUCAAAUUUAAAAUCUGGCGGUUUUGGCCGUCCGAGUUGUAGUCUGGAGAAGUGUUUUCCGCGCUGGACCGUGUAUAAGUCUCUUGGAACAGAGCGUCAUAGAGGGUGAGAAUCCCGUCUUUGACACAGACUACCAGUGCUUUGUGAUGCGCUCUCGAAGAGUCGAGUUGUUUGGGAAUGCAGCUCAAAAUGGGUGGUAAAUUCCAUCUAAAGCUAAAUAUUGGCGAGAGACCGAUAGCGAACAAGUACCGUGAGGGAAAGAUGAAAAGCACUUUGGAAAGAGAGUUAAACAGUACGUGAAAUUGCUGAAAGGGAAACGCUUGAAGUCAGUCGCGUCGUUUAAAACUCAGCCUUGCUUUUGCUUGGUGCACUUUCUGAACGACGGGCCAGCAUCAAUUUCGAUCGUCGGAAAAGGGUUGGAGGAAUGUGGCACUCUUCGGAGUGUGUUAUAGCCUCUAAUCACAUACGGCGGUUGGGAUUGAGGAACGCACCGCGCCGCAAGGCAGGGGUUCGCCCACUUUCGCGCUUAGGAUGCUGGCGUAAUGGCUUUAAACAACCCGUCUUGAAACACGGACCAAGGAGUCUAACAUGCCUGCGAGUGUUUGGGUGNAAAACCCGAGCGCGUAAUGAAAGUGAAAG